Perkinsus marinus ATCC 50983 is the source of this 421-nucleotide non-coding RNA. The record is from Rfam. Lineage: Eukaryota; Perkinsozoa; Perkinsida; Perkinsidae.
GUUUUACCCUACUGACAAAGUAGAUACUGCGACAGUAGUCGAAGUUAGUACGAGAGGAACACUUCGUCCAGAUACUUGGUUAAUGCCGUUGUCUGAAAAGACAGUACGGCGAAGCUACCAUCUGCUGGAUUACGGCUGAACGCCUCUAAGCCGGAAUCCAUGCUGGAUAAGCAGUGUUGUACACCGUGCUCAAUGCUACAAGAAAAAGGCUAGGUCAGGCUUCGGCCUGACCAAAAUUCAAGCUGCUAUACCUCUGGCUGCAUUGACUUGUGGUCAGAGUGUAUGGUGAUCAUAGCAAUUGCAAGUAUUGGGCUCGAUAAAUCCUUUGAAGACGACUUAAUUGCAUCCGGGUAUUGUAAGUGUUGAGAGUAGGCUUAGUCUUACGAUCCACUGAGAUUCAUCCCGUGUUGCGCCGAUUUGU